CGUUGUUGUCGAAGUGGCUAUUCAACGGUCUCACUCCCGUCAGAACUACCAAUGGUCAGUUCAGCUCAGCGAAGCCGAGAAAUGCAACUUUAUUUAUGUGAGUUUGUACUGGGCUGUGGUCUGCAUGAGUUAUGAUCGGUAUUGCUAUCAUCCAUUGAUAGAUCAGUAUGGGUUUUGCUAUUCAUCAGCCUCACAAUGAGUACGAUCUUCGUGUUUGUGGAGGCGGAACUGAGUAAGGAGCCUAUUAUGUCGUUGAGGCUGCUGAGCUACGUACCAUGAUUCUACUGCCUUCCAUUCCAUUAAUGGUAAGUUAAUGCAGGCAGCGGAAUCCAGCUUCCGUAGCUUUUUCAAAUUGGCUGUUAUCUAUUAUGGAACUCAGCGUGAUUUAUGGCAUGCCAUUAUAUUUCUCGGUGGUGCAGCUCACCCGCUCAAAGUUUGCCGGAAACUAUCUCGUGACCCCACAGGGUGUCUUUGACGACGCAUCAAAAAUCAUCCUACCUCAUGAAAGCAUCUCUCUUCAAAGUUAUUCUCCCAUUCGGCUCCGUCUCUGCCUGAUGGUACAUGCGACGAAUUGGCAAGUUCUACUAGAUGGCAGCGUUCAUGUGUAGCAUGUCUUUUUUCUCCAAGGUUAUGUUUUUCAUCUGGGGGCCUGACCUUCCAAACUGGUUACUAUGUGUGGCUGUUGCUCCUUCUGGGUCCGGCGUGGCGGAAGUACUGACGAACACAUUGAUUAUUCUUACUGGGGGUGUGGACAAGGCGGAUAGUGCUUGCAGUACUGGAAUCUCAUAUCUCUCAAGACCUACCGCAUAAGUGAUGCAUAUGCAACAGCUGCAUGCUGGAACCUAACAUCACCGUCCUCCAUAUGUUACAUUCAGAUUUUCGGCGUCGCCCUCAGUAAUGCUUUGAUGUAAUCGAUGCUUCAGAAGAAGCUAUCGGCUGGAAUUAACAGAUCAAGGUCAAAGGAAGUUAGUUAUCACCAGUCUAAAGUUCUCUAUUAGACACAACUGUUUGUACACGGAUUACUGGACGCAUUCGUCACUCUACAUCCCCAAUAAUCUAUCUUCCUUCCGCGUGACAUCAAAACGGCAUUAGCUAUCGACGCAUAUCAGGCUCCGAAUAAUUUUCAUCUUUAUCGCACUGUGUCGGCACAUGUUUACGCGCGACUUCUGGACGACUUCUGGACGAAUCAACAGUCAGUUUGCACUUCUGACAAGGCUAUGCCGUUCAAAUAUCGGCGUGGUCUGGCAGCAAGCAAUCUGGUGCUGGCGCUGAAGUGACAGAUGAGGCGAAAUUUAGGUGGGAAACAGAUGGAAAAUAAACAAAGUUAUGAAUAGCUCGCUAAAACAGUGAUUAUACAAAAAUUGGGGAAUAUUCCAAAAGUCCAUUUACAACCCUAGCCAGUGUUUCUUAUCCAAGUAUUCCGUUCGACUGUUCUUCCUUCUCCCUCAGUCACUGCCAAGGUCAACUUUACAUACCAGUGAAGUUAGGAUUGCUGGCGGAAGAAGCGAAAGGAAGGUCAAUGAUGGCUGGGCCAGCAAUGAUGUUGGAAUCGUCAACCAUGGUGGUGUUAGACGUUGAAGAUACGACUGCGUAAGCAAUGCCCUGAAGAGAGGGUGGGAUGGUAACCAUCAUGUCGGUGACGGGGAGGGCGAGGAUAGUGAGGCCAGAAUAGAGAAUAAGGGUGUCGGAUGAACUAGCACCGGUAUAGUUGAGGAUGGCGGUGGAACCGGCAGCGUCACAAGACAGAGUGAGAGCUGGGAAUGCCUUGACUGGGAGAGUUGGGUUGGAGGAUGGGCAGCUGGUGAUGAAAGCAGCGGCAAUGGAGUAGACAUCGGACAGACCGAGAGGAGUGUCGUACGGGCCGGACCAUGGGUUCUGCUUGUUAACGGCGGAGGCGAUCCAGGCCUGGUGGCGCGCCUCGGUGGUGAGAAUGGAACCAGCAACGCUGCGGAAGGGAGCAGGGGAAGAGUCAGACAGUGAUUCAUGCGAUGUGGGAAGCCCAUAUACACUCACGUCAAGUAGGUCUUGUCCAUGAUAAAACCGGCGGCACCGAGGUAAGCAGAAACACCAACGUUCUCAAUAACCUGUGAGAGAGCAGUGAAUGACUUGGCAUCGGUGUAUGGGAAGGAGUACUCGCAUGGCUGAGUGGCGUCAGUGCCGAGGGCAUCAGAUAGAACGGCGACGUGGGAGGCCUCGUGAGUGGCAAUCUGCUCGAACCUGUUCCGCACCCAGGUUGGGAAUCCGGCAUCGACGAACGCUUGGGUGUCCAUGUUCUUGAGGGCAGUGGAGUAGAAGUUGCUUAUGGUAAUAGAGGCGGAAGGAGUAUCAGGAAGCAUUUUCCAAAAGCGAGGCCAGAAAAACAUGGCUCACUUCUCCAGGUGCUCGAGAGUCAACGCAUACUGUAGGAUAUCAGUGUCGGUUGGGGUGUAAACAUCUCUCUUGAUUGGAGUGGCUUGAACGGCGAGGGCACCGAUAGCGGCGACAGCAAUAGUGGAGUACUUCAUCGUACGUAUAUUAAUGAAAGACUGGGUCGGUGAGGAAUGUUGUGUGUGUGCGUGUGUGUGAGAAGUAUGAGAUUGGUUCCAGAAAGAGAAAGAAAAGGAAAGGGCAAAAGGGCAUGAUAGGAAGAAGGCACUUCAUAUAUGUAUUGAAGUUGAC
RNAcentral lists this small RNA (2658 nucleotides) under Cryptococcus neoformans H99. RNAcentral describes it as "Cryptococcus neoformans var. grubii H99 hypothetical RNA". Lineage: Eukaryota; Fungi; Basidiomycota; Tremellomycetes; Tremellales; Cryptococcaceae. The record is from RNAcentral.